GUGGGGAAUAUUGGACAAUGGGCGAAAGCCUGAUCCAGCCAUGCCGCGUGUGUGAAGAAGGUCUUCGGAUUGUAAAGCACUUUAAGUUGGGAGGAAGGGCAUUAACCUAAUACGUUAGUGUUUUGACGUUACCGACAGAAUAAGCACCGGCUAACUUCGUGCCAGCAGCCGCGGUAAUACGAAGGGUGCAAGCGUUAAUCGGAAUUACUGGGCGUAAAGCGCGCGUAGGUGGUUCGUUAAGUUGGAUGUGAAAGCCCCGGGCUCAACCUGGGAACUGCCUCCAAAACUACUGGGCUAGAGUACGGUAGAGGGUAGUGGAAUUUCCUGUGUAGCGGUGAAAUGCGUAGAUAUAGGAAGGAACACCAGUGGCGAAGGCGACUACCUGGACUGAUACUGACACUGAGGUGCGAAAGCGUGGGGAGCAAACAGGAUUAGAAACCCCGGUAGUCC
RNAcentral lists this ribosomal RNA (450 nucleotides) under uncultured bacterium. RNAcentral describes it as "partial 16S ribosomal RNA". It matches the Rfam family "Bacterial small subunit ribosomal RNA", at positions 354 to 796 of the family's 1533-position model. The record is from RNAcentral.